This 275-nucleotide ribosomal RNA is filed under the name uncultured Gordonia sp. RNAcentral's name for it is "partial 16S ribosomal RNA". It matches the Rfam family "Bacterial small subunit ribosomal RNA", at positions 338 to 625 of the family's 1533-position model. The record is from RNAcentral. Lineage: Bacteria; Bacillati; Actinomycetota; Actinomycetes; Mycobacteriales; Gordoniaceae.
CCUACGGGGGGCAGCAGUGGGGAAUAUUGCACAAUGGGCGCAAGCCUGAUGCAGCGACGCCGCGUGAGGGAUGACGGCCUUCGGGUUGUAAACCUCUUUCAGCUCCGACGAAGCGCAAGUGACGGUAGGAGCAGAAGAAGCACCGGCCAACUACGUGCCAGCAGCCGCGGUAAUACGUAGGGUGCAAGCGUUGUCCGGAAUUACUGGGCGUAAAGAGCUCGUAGGCGGUUUGUCGCGUCGUCUGUGAAAUUCUGCAGCUUAACUGCAGGCGUGCA